CUCUGAGCCUCGCAGGGACUCUGCCUUGAUCACAGCGCCAGGGCCUUUUCUGGCUUCUCAGCAGUCUGUGUGAACCUUCAGAUGGGGUGGGCACACGUGGCACCCCCAGCCAAGCAGGGGACGGGCCGGACUCGGUCCUCCAGUGUCACCUCUCCCUCCUGCCACUGGAACCGAGGCUUAGAAUCACUGAGGCGGUGGGAACAUAGCUGUGGGCACAAGAGUGGACAUUUCUACGGCGUUCCCUGCUGACCAGGCGCUGUUCUCACGUGCCUCACAGCACACAUUAACUCAUCUUCCCCGCAACCAGCCCUGGAGGGCAGGGACUGUGAUUUUCCCCAUUUUACAGAUGAAGAAACAGAAGCAGAAAUGUUUAAACUUAUGGGAAGAUACACCACUAACAAGGGCUGGAGCCAGGACUCUAGCCAUGCAGUGUGGCUGCAGAGUACAGGAUUUUAAUCACCCGUUGCAUCCUCUGGCGUCGGGCAGGGCUGGACUUCAGGCUGGGUUUUCCCCGUUCCCAGCUGCACCCACGUCGUGUCUCCUCCUGGAGUCUAAGUUUCCUGUGCUGUGACUGCAGGCGGAGAGGAGGGCCCAACGUCUAGGGGAUUUCAUGCUGCAUCUAGAAGCCAAAACGCUGACACCCCUUGAAAAGGAGGGCUGGGAACUGAGAUGAUUGACGCCCCAAGGGGAAGCGGGCGCUUCCCAGAACAGCCUCGGCAUGACCUGGACAUGGAGCCAGGCGGCUGCUCCUUGCCCAACCCAUGGGGGCCUUGCAAUGAUUAAUAAUAAUAAUGAUGAUGAUAAUGGUGCCAGCAGCAGCCGUGGCUCCCUUUGGAAGUGCUCCCGGGGGGCAGGCAACAUCUCACGCAUUCUCGCAAUAAUCCUGCCAGGGAGCUGCUAGUGUAGCCCCAUUGCAGGGCUGGGGAAACCAAGGCUCCGAAGGGUCAAUGACUUGCCCAGUGUCAUGCCAGGAGCCAGUGGUAUGUUCCUGCUGGGAUUGGACAAGCGCCUGAGAUCCUGAGCAGGGGGCAGAGUUCAGGGGGCGGUCGGGGGGUCAUCUCAGUGAAUGGCAACAAUGAGUGAGUAAGCGAGCCUGUUAGCAAGUGAAUGAAUGAGUGAACGAAUAAAAAGGCUGUUUAAGGAAUUCUGCCCCUGGGGAGGCAUGAAAGGGCCACAGGUCUCUCCCUAGUUGCCUCCCCCCGCCACCUCCAGGGAGACCCCUGAGAUUAAUGGGCCACAGACAAAGGCCCAAGUCUCACCUGCCCAGAAACAAGGACCCCUCACUUCCCGGGUUCCAGGGGUCCCCUGUCUCGUCCAACACCCCGCUAGGGCACAGGGCACUGCACACGGGAGGCCCCUGAGAAACAGCAGCGUCACUGAGCAGUGCCCUCUGGCCUGCGCCCCCCCACCUUCAUCCCAGCCAUCCCCAAAUGCCACAAGGGUAGAUCACCUGCCCUAGUCCCCACCACCACCUGCACCCUUGCCCAGGGCUGAAUUCCCACAUAGGAUUGGGGUCUGGGGAGGGGCCAAAAUAAGGGAAAAGCUGAUCUCUCUUUACCCACUCUGCCCCCUCCCGUCCCCUUUGCAGCUCAUAUUGGGGAGUCCCUGGGUUGGGGGUGGCACACACUUGGUUCCUAGGAGCUUGGGCAGUAGGGUACUACUGCCCCUCCAUUCCCCGGAUGCGCAUCCCCCUCCAUUCCCCGGAUUCUUCAUUCAUUCAGCAAAUAUUUAUGGAGCCCCUACUGUGUGCAAGGUGCUGGGCUCAGCCAUUCAUGCACACACAGACCCUUCCUUCUGAUGUCUCUGGUUCCAUUAAGAAGACUGUGUGUCACGUGCCUCCCCACCACGUUCCCAAGGACUGUCCCCACACCAACUCCUGGUGGUCUGUAGCUGUGCCUCCCUCAUCAGACUGGGAUUUCUCCAGGGCAUGGUUGUGACACUGCCAUCAGACUGGCCUGUGCAACCUGCCUUUCCUGAGAAACCUCUCCCUUCACUCCAAGAGCCUCCCUGGAGACGGUUGCCAGAUAAAAUACAGGACGCUCAGUUAAAUUUGAAUCUCAGACAAACAAAGAAUAAUUUUUUAGUAUAAGUAUGUCCCAAAUAUCGCACAAGGUAUACUUAAACUAAAAAUUCUUCCUUGUUUAUCUGAAAUUCAAAUUUAACUGGGCACCGUGGGUUUCUAUUUGCUAAAUCUGGCAACCCUAGACCUGGAGCUCUUUCCUCCUGCUGGAAGUGGGCCUGGCCAGAUGGCCCAGGUCGUGUCUGGACUUGGCUCCUGCCUGCCCAGUUAUAGCUCCUGUUGGUCCCCAGGACUAGUUCCCUCCCUCGCUGGGCCGCACCUGAAACCCCAGCUCCUAGGUGGGCACAGCCGCCCACCACCCAGUGCACAGAGCCCAGCGUAUGGACCCUUAGGAACACUGCAUCCCGCCUCCUGUGUGAUGGGUCCAGGGAGAGAGGGGGAGAGAGCCACAGCUGCAGAGAGGGACCACGAGACUCAGAGACAGAGAGAGGCAGAGACACAGAGAUAAAGGGACACCACAGAGACUGAGCACUGGAGACAGAGGGGGAGACAGCUGAGAGGGAGACAGAGAGCUUCCGGAUCCCUGCCCAGAGCUGCUUCAGGAGACCAGUGAAGCGGGUGGAGGGUCCUGAAAGCCCACUAGGAUUUGCCUGAGUGGAUUGGGGUGGAGGAGAGGUGGGGUCCCUGAGCCCCAACGUUGGGCCCCAGACUGGCCGGCCCUGGGAGGCAGGGGUGGGAGUCCAUUCAGAGGCCGGCCUCAGCCCCAGGGCUCUCCCCUCGCCCUGCCUCCCAGGGGCAAACACAGGGACAUUCAUGGCUUCCCAGAACGGCCUAUGGGGCAGCCAGAGUGGCUUUUAAAAUUAGCCUCGCUAACCAGAUCUGGUUAUUUCAGGAGGCUCCAUCCCCUUGGCAAGGCGGGAGCAGGGAAGAAGGGAGGGACCUCCACAUUCCAGGGUCCCUGGCUGAGCACCCCCUGUGGCCUGAGCAGCAGAGAACGUCCAGCUCCCAGUCCCCUGGCACGGCCGGCCCGGGCCUGCGGUCAUCUCCUUGGCAAAGUUGCCCCAGGGUUGGCCAUGGAGGUCCAAGAACACCCCAGCUGGGGGUGGGUAGGGGAGGACCCCCUUGUAUUGGGCACGGGUUCUGUGCCAGCAGCCAUCCCAGGUACCUUAGAGGCCAAGACAGCCUCUUCAGAGCAAUAGGUAGGGGCCUUGUCCUCAUUCUCCAGGUAAGGAAACAGACUCCUGGAGACAGGAGGCCCCUGCUGUGAGGUAGGGGAGAUGGGGGAGGGCACGUCUUCCAGGCACCCAGGUCCCUCCACGGGAGGCCUCUUCCCUCCUGUGUCUGGAGGAACCCCCCGGCUGCUGUUUCCACUACCAGAGUAAUUUCUAAGCAGAGUCCAGCGCUUCCCGGAGCCUGGUACCCCCCGCCCAAGUUCUAAUUCCAGCCUCGAGUCAGAGUGUCCCGGCUCGCCCUCCCACCUCACAGCCCAGGGUGAGCACAGAGCUGGCGCGGGCACAAGAGAAAUAGCACCGGACACUUUGAUCCCAGAGGCCCGAUCCGUUGCCAGCCUCCCCUGACCCCACCUCGGAGCUUGGAGGGAUGCGGUAGGGUGAAACCCAGCCCCAAGGCCUUCCUUCCCGCAGACGGCCUGGCACCAGCUGGACAGGGAUGGGGCAAAGGCAGGUUCUGCCCACCAAGCUGCCCACCUGCUCUGCCACAGCAGCCCCUGCUGCUCUGUCUCAGCUGUGGGAUAGAGUGGAGUGGGGGUGCAUUGCUAAGUACAGGGAGACAAGCCGGAGACCUCCCCCAGCUCUGUUAUGGCAGCAUCGUCACCCCAGGUAAACCUGGCAAGCUGAGGCCCAGGGAAGCACCUGACGCCGUCCAUUCCCAAAGCCUCACAUCUAGGCACCUGUGCUGGGCCCAGUGGCAGGUGGGCGUCCUCCACGCACUGAGCGGACCCCACGUGUUCUGAAUUACGGACGUCAUUGAUCCCUUCCUGCGGUAUGCACACUCUCUUCUUUGAGCCCACCACGUGCUGGGGCUGCACCCAGAACUUUAUGAGGUGUCACCUCAUUUAAUCCUCAUGCCAGGGUGCCAGCGAGGGCAGGGCUGUUAGCACCCCCACUGCACAGAUGAGGAAACUGAGGCCCAGGGAGCCAAAAUCGUGUCUGCAUGGUCAUAGCGCGAGGAGGCGAAGCAGCUCAGAGCUGAUUCUGAAGAAGCUCUUAACCGUGGUGCUGAACUGUGAUGCCGGCCCUGUGGAGGUGGGGCAGGAGGAGAGAGGGCAGAGGACUGCGGCGGAGGGAUAGGGAGCAGGGGUGCGGCUGAUGGGUGGGCAGUUCACAGGGGACUCACUGGGCCCAGAGCAGCCUAGAGCCAAACCGAGUUGGGUGGGGCUGGGGUUUGGGUGUGAGUCACCACCCAUGGGUGGCCUGAGGCAUCAGAGGGUCACAGAAGGGCCCUGUCGGGAAAAGUGUGGCACUCCCUGGACAAACCCCUGGGGUUCCUUCAGCAUCAUCCUGGGAAGGGGGCAGGGCCAGCAGGGGAUAGGGGGCACUGCCAAGCUGUCAGGGAGGCCAAGGCACGGCUCAUCCCUUCGGGGCCCAAUUUGGUGCCUACUCCCAAAUGUCCCCAAAGCCACCCCGCAGACCUGCUCUCCUCCGUGGUCCUGCCCCAGAGGGAGAGUCCCCUCAUUCACCCAACACCCAGCCUGUACCCCCGGGAGCCACCCGAUUCCCCCCUUAGCCCCACAGCCCAUCAGGCGCUUGGUCCCCCUGCUCAGGCCCACCUGGUGUCCUUCUCAGCGUCCUCCUGGCCACCCUCUUACCCCAGCAACAACCUCGUUGGUCCCCUCCUCCCUCCACUGGUGCAGCCUCCACCAGCAACUACCGCUCCUGCCUGGGGCUCCCCCUGCCCUUGGCGCAGAGCCCUGGCCUCUCCGUCGGGAGUUCAAGGCCACAUUGCCUCUGGCCUCAUCCCUGCCCAUCUCCCUGUCCCCUCCAUUGUCACCUUCCCACCAUUCAGAGCUGGCUGCCACCUUCCUGGUUCCAGGGGUGCUCUGCCUCCCCGCCCUUUACUCGAGGCCCCCUCCUGCAGCGUCCCUCCUCCCUAGGCCUUCUCAGGAACGGGGAGCAACUCCAGGAACUUUCCCUGACGCCUCUCUCCCCAGGCCCUGCUUGUGCACACCUCUCCUGUCCCCGGCUGCCCCUCAUCACCCUUCGUCCUACUGUCCCAGCUGUGAGAUCCUGGUAGAGGGACUUGGACUCAUCCCCGUCUCCUGGGUCCCCAUCGGGUCCCGUAAGUGGUCCCUUGGCGCCGCCUUGUGGCCAUAUCAGGGGAUUCACUGAAUAUGAGAACAGGGAGAAGGAAGUAAUUAAUUGAGCACCUAAUGUGUGCCAGACACUGUGCUGUAUGUUUGAUACGCACCAGCUCAUUGAAUCCUCACAACAAACCCUUGGGAGAAACACUACCACUCCUAUUUUACAAAAGGAAACACUGAGGCUCACGGAAGCUAGUAAGUUUCUCAACGCCACCCACCCAGCUAACAAGAGACGGUCCCAGGACUCAAACCUAGGUCUGCCUGACAGCACAGCCAUGUUCUUCCUGCAGUGGGGAAGGGGCCCAGGAUGCAGGGAAGGACAGCACCCCGGGGAGGAAACCACGGGCGGUGCUCACAGAGCUGGUGGCUUGGCUUUGGAGGUGUCCCCAGGCCCAGCAGCUCUGAUGGGGACAGGCUUGCUCCCUGCCACCUUGACAUCCCUGGACAUCUGUCUGGGGUCAAUCUGGCCACGGUUCACACAAAGCCAGGCCCAACUCUGGGUACAAUAGCGAUAAAUAGAAUUUAUUUUAUACAACUG
Molecule: long non-coding RNA, 5877 nt
Filed under: Homo sapiens (human)
Lineage: Eukaryota; Metazoa; Chordata; Mammalia; Primates; Hominidae
Description: non-protein coding LINC02596:9
Source: RNAcentral